GAGUUUGAUCCUGGCUCAGAUUGAACGCUGGCGGCAGGCCUAACACAUGCAAGUCGGGCGGUAGAGAGAAGCUUGCUUCUCUUGAGAGCGGCGGACGGGUGAGUAAUGCCUAGGAAUCUGCCUGGUAGUGGGGGAUAACGCUCGGAAACGGACGCUAAUACCGCAUACGUCCUACGGGAGAAAGCAGGGGACCUUCGGGCCUUGCGCUAUCAGAUGAGCCUAGGUCGGAUUAGCUAGUUGGUGAGGUAAUGGCUCACCAAGGCGACGAUCCGUAACUGGUCUGAGAGGAUGAUCAGUCACACUGGAACUGAGACACGGUCCAGACUCCUACGGGAGGCAGCAGUGGGGAAUAUUGGACAAUGGGCGAAAGCCUGAUCCAGCCAUGCCGCGUGUGUGAAGAAGGUCUUCGGAUUGUAAAGCACUUUAAGUUGGGAGGAAGGGCAGUAAAUUAAUACUUUUGCUGUUUUUGACGUUACCGACAGAAUAAGCACCGGCUAACUCUGUGCCAGCAG
This 512-nucleotide ribosomal RNA is filed under the name uncultured bacterium. RNAcentral describes it as "bacterial SSU rRNA". It matches the Rfam family "Bacterial small subunit ribosomal RNA", at positions 9 to 514 of the family's 1533-position model. The record is from RNAcentral.